Long non-coding RNA from Erigeron canadensis, 1802 nucleotides. RefSeq lists it as uncharacterized. The record is from RefSeq and is a predicted model, not a curated record. The transcript has 5 exons. NCBI's taxonomy places the organism in Eukaryota, Viridiplantae, Streptophyta, Magnoliopsida, Asterales, Asteraceae.
ACCGAAAUUACUCUUGACCAUUCUCCUCCCACAUCCCUCCUCCGUUCAUCCCCCUAAACAAAGAGAAAAAAGACAGACUCUGGAUAAUUGCAUAUCGAUAUCUUCCCUCUCUCGGACUUCUCAGAUCUUCACCAUCAGCCACCAUCGCCGGCAUAUUUUGCAUCACCACCACAACAGGCGGCUAUUAUAUCUGUCGGCAACUUUAUCGCCGGAACCACUCGCCGGCAACCACGAUCUCACCAUAAAACCCUCGCAAUCAACCAAUUAAUUUCAAUCGAUUUUUUUUCUUUCAUUGUUUGAAUCGUGAUUAUUAGGGUUUGUAUUUUGAUUUUUAAAUAAAUUUAAAUAAAAUGGCAGAAACAUAUGCUACCUGUAUCUUCGGAACUAAACCCACCGCCAUCACACACACCAUCUGUGCCACAUUCAUUCUAUUGUUUUUUAUUUCCAUUUCAAAUCUGUUAACUGCACACGUUCCUUUCAAUGAAUUUUCUAUUUUUUACAUUCUCAAUUUCUCAUACGAAAUCUGUCUUUGCCCUUUCAAAUAGAAAAUAGAAAAUAAAAUGUGGCUGAUUUAUAGGGUUGUGGAAGAAGCUAACCAUAGUAUAAAACUCAGGUCUCUUCAUCGAGGCUUUUAUUUGUGUCGGGUUUUGAAAUUUGUUUCUUUCUUUGUUAAUGUACAUGAUUUUAGUUUGUGUAUGAUUGAUUAGUUAGUAACUUUGGUUUGGUAUGUUCGAUAAAGGAGUUUGGGUUUUUUAGAUUAGUGAGGCUGUUGUUAGAACUUUUAUGUUACUUGGCAUUUUUGGAACAGAGUAAGAUUUAAGAGAUUCUUUUGUUCCCUAUUAUUAUUGAGGCUAUUGUAUAUAUAUAUUUAAUUUAAUAACUGGUAAUUAUAUUCCAAAUGCAGAUAAGACUUAUGUUUCUACAAUGGGAGUAUAGUUGAACACCUUGAUGGUCAUACACACAUUGUAUACAUUCAGCUAUGUCGGAAUGUGUCAAAGAGAUUUACUUUUAUGACAAAUCUGCAGAAGAGAGGGUGAUGGGGCUAUGUGAGCUUGAAAAAAACUUUCGCCUUUCUCUCUUUGUUGUAUGUACAUUUCAAGGAUGAUGAUUUGUUAUUAUUGAAGCUCUUUUCCUACAACAACUGAAUCUCUUGGUCGAGACAAUGAAGUGCUAAAACAUGGGUCGAUGAUGCUCGCCAAAUAGCCGAGUGGUGUCCAUUUCAUAUGUGCUCAUCUGACUCUUUAUCGUGUUGUAUUCAUUCUAUGUACCUCAUUUCAGUCAUGCUACAUGUUUUUUACAGAACAUAAGCUGCUGGUUCGAAAUUGGUUGGGUCGAUUCGGGGACAAACACACCAUGCUUGAUAAAUUUUGGUUUCAACAUCCUACUAAAGAAAGUCAAUGAUAUUGUUGACACUUGACAGCAACAAAAGCGGGAGGCUUCCUAAGAACUCCAAGGUAAUAUAAUGGCCUACCUACGAGUAAAUUUAAUGCAUUUAAAGGUUAGUUCAUCUUAUGAUAUACAUCAGUUGCAUGUAAAUUUGAUAGAAAUGAAUGUGAUUUUGAAGAUUAACUAUCAUAUUUACAUUGAACGAAAAGUAAUGAAUGGCAUGGAAGAGAAGUUUCAAGUGAAAGAAGAACUAUGAUAUGUGAAUGCUGGUAAUGUAUUUAUAGAUGUUAGGCCAUCUUGGUUUCCAUCAUCAUAUGUAGCGUAUUUAUUAUGAUUUUGUUUCCAUUUGUACAGAGGUCCUAUGGUUCUUAAGAUAUAAAUGAUGGGCCAUUUGCCUAUAUUCAUUUUGUUGAUAA